Octodon degus (degu) is the source of this 111-nucleotide long non-coding RNA. RefSeq lists it as uncharacterized. The transcript has 3 exons. The record is from RefSeq and is a predicted model, not a curated record. Lineage: Eukaryota; Metazoa; Chordata; Mammalia; Rodentia; Octodontidae.
UAACUGUUCAGUAUAACCUAUAAAGCAGUAGUUGGUUGUGAAUUAUAGUGGCACCAGCUAGCCCCUCUAUGAUUUAAAGGUCUUUUCAGUACUUCUAAAAUAAGACCUUAU